This 579-nucleotide ribosomal RNA is filed under the name Triticum aestivum (bread wheat). RNAcentral describes it as "partial small subunit ribosomal RNA". The record is from RNAcentral. Lineage: Eukaryota; Viridiplantae; Streptophyta; Magnoliopsida; Poales; Poaceae.
AUGGUCGAGGGCUCGGACACGGACAUCGCUAACCUCAAGUUCCUUCUUCUCUGCUUCCAACAAAUGUCUGGCCUCAAGAUCAACUUCGACAAGAGUGAUGUGAUGGUUAUGGGCUACUCUCCGACUGACGCCUUGGACAUCGCCAACCGCCUCAAUUGCCGCCUCGGCUCCUUUCCCACGACCUACUUGGGAACCCCCAUCAGUGACUCUCGGCUCACUGUCGCGGACUUGCGCCCCAUAGUGGUCAAGCUUCAAACACGCAUGGAGCCGUGGCAAGGCCGGUGGCUGUCAAAGGCGGCUCGGACGAUCCUCAUUAACUCCUCCAUCACUAGCCUCCUCCUGUUUCUUAUGAGCUUCUAUAGCCUCCAUGAGACCCUUCACCAUGAGAUCGCCAAAAUCCAAUCUCGCUUCUUUUGGGCGGGUGACAACAAUAAGCAGAAAUAUCACAUGGUUAGCUGGCCGGACAUCUGUAAGCCCCGUGAACAAGGAGGCCUCGGUAUCAUGUGCUCUAAACGCAUGAACAUCUCCCUCCUCACCCGCUGGCUCUGGCGCAUUUCGCAGGGCCACGGUGGUCUCUAG